CCUACGGGAGGCAGCAGUGGGGAAUAUUGCACAAUGGGCGGAAGCCUGAUGCAGCGACGCCGCGUGAGGGAUGACGGCCUUCGGGUUGUAAACCUCUUUCAGUAGGGAAGAAGCGAAAGUGACGGUACCUGCAGAAGAAGCGCCGGCUAACUACGUGCCAGCAGCCGCGGUAAUACGUAGGGCGCAAGCGUUAUCCGGAAUUAUUGGGCGUAAAGAGCUCGUAGGCGGUUUGUCGCGUCUGCCGUGAAAGUCCGGGGGCUCAACUCCGGAUCUGCGGUGGGUACGGGCAGACUAGAGUGAUGUAGGGGAGACUGGAAUUCCUGGUGUAGCGGUGAAAUGCGCAGAUAUCAGGAGGAACACCGAUGGCGAAGGCAGGUCUCUGGGCAUUAACUGACGCUGAGGAGCGAAAGCAUGGGGAGCGAACAGGAUUAGAUACCCUGGUAGUCCAUGCCGUAAACGUUGGGCACUAGGUGUGGGGGUACAUUCCACGUUUUCCGCGCCGUAGCUAACGCAUUAAGUGCCCCGCCUGGGGAGUACGGCCGCAAGGCUAAACUACAGAUAGUGCGNGNGAGNGCGACGACGACGACGACGAGGAG
This 596-nucleotide ribosomal RNA is filed under the name uncultured bacterium. RNAcentral's name for it is "bacterial SSU rRNA". It matches the Rfam family "Bacterial small subunit ribosomal RNA", at positions 338 to 943 of the family's 1533-position model. The record is from RNAcentral.